CCGACUGCUCUGAGGUCCAGCACCCCCGGCCACCCCAGGACUCCCGAAGAGGCUGCUAGGUCGGCCUGCCCAAAGAGCGGUGAGGAGCGUAUGUGAAGAGCCCCAGUCUUGAGGAGCAGCCUGUAUCUGGAGAGAGGGGAGCCCCGGACCAGAGGUGGGGGACAGGAAGCCAUCGCCCCACCCUGCCUCCUCCCCCACCACAGGUGGCCCUCGCCCCGGCCCACCCGCGCCUCCCAGGCCCAGCCUCACCUGCUGCCGAGAGAGGACAGUGACCCCCCAAAAGCCGGAGGUGAAGGAGGAGGAGGAAGAGGAGGAAGGAGCUGGAGGAGCCGGGGACUCGCCCGCUGAGGAUGCUCUUGUCAAGACAAUGAAUGAGAAGCAGCCGUGCGCCCGCCUCCGGGGUGGCCGCGCCCCUUGGGGCGGAGCUCUUCCAGGCCCGCCCUGCGCUCUCCGGCCCCCGCUGCGGCCGC
RNAcentral lists this non-coding RNA (470 nucleotides) under Pan troglodytes (chimpanzee). Lineage: Eukaryota; Metazoa; Chordata; Mammalia; Primates; Hominidae. The record is from RNAcentral.